UACGGGGGGGGCAAGCGUUGUUCGGAAUUACUGGGCGUAAAGGGUUCGUAGGUGGCUAACCAAGUCAGACGUGAAAUCCCUCAGCUUAACUGGGGAACUGCGUCUGAGACUGGAUAGCUCGAGUGCAGGAGAGGAACGCGGAAUUCCAGGUGUAGCGGUGAAAUGCGUAGAUAUCUGGAGGAACACCGGUGGCGAAGGCGGCGUUCUGGACUGCAACUGACACUGAGGAACGAAAGCCAGGGGAGCAAACGGG
RNAcentral lists this ribosomal RNA (253 nucleotides) under uncultured bacterium. Its description in RNAcentral is "partial 16S ribosomal RNA". It matches the Rfam family "Bacterial small subunit ribosomal RNA", at positions 524 to 776 of the family's 1533-position model. The record is from RNAcentral.